UCUACAUAAUUGAAGACGACGAGAUUUGAACGGUAUGGGAAAGCCGGCCAUAGAGGGUGAUAGCCCCGUAAGAGAAUCAGAGUUGGAGAGGUAGUAUCCUGAGUAGGGCGGGGUCGGAGACGCCCCGUUUGAAUUUGCCGGCACCAUCCGGUAAGGCUAAAUACUUUUGAGAGACCGAUAGUGAACCAGUACUGUGAAGGAAAGGUGAAAAGUACUCCGAAUAGGAGGGUGAAAGGAGAACCUGAAGCCAUACGCUUACAAGCGGUCGGAGCUCAGUAAUUGAGUGACGGCGUGCCUUUUGCAUAAUGAGCCUACGAGUUACUGUCACUGGCGAGGUUAAGGGUCUAGAGAUCCGCAGCCGGAGCGAAAGCGAGUCUGAAUAGGGCGUAUAGUCAGUGGGAGUAGACGCGAAACUUUGUGAUCUACCCUUGGUCAGGAUGAAGUUCCGGUAACACGGGAUGGAGGUCCGAACUAGUAAACGUUGAAAAGUUUUUGGAUGAACUGAGGGUAGGGGUGAAAGGCUAAUCAAACUGAGAAAUAGCUCGUACUCCCCGAAAUGUUUUUAGGAACAGUGUGGAGGUUGAGUUUGGCACAGGUAGAGCUACCAAUUGGACUAGGGGGAGUCACAUCCUACCAAAUCCAGAUGAACUCCGAAUGGUGCCAAAUAUACUCUGCAAUGAGGGCGCGGGUGCUAAGGUCCGUGUCCGAGAGGGAAAGAACCCAGACCUGCAGCUAAGGUCCCAAAAUCUAUACUAAGUUGAACUAAGGUGGUUCAGUUGCUGAGACAGCCAGGAGGUUAGCUUGGAAGCAGCUAUUCCUUUAAAGAGUGCGUAACAGCUCACUGGUCGAGCGACAGAGCAUCGAUAAUAAUCGGGCAUCAAGUAUAGUACCGAAGCUCAGGAUUUGCAGCAAUGCAAGUGGUAGGGGAGCAUUCUAUCAUCGGAGAAGCCGAGGGGUCACCUGAGGUGGAGAGGAUAGAAAAGCAAAUGUAGGCAUAAGUAACGAUAAGGCAGGUGAGAACCCUGCCCACCGAAAGACUAAGGUUUCCGCGGCAAUGUCAAUCAGCCGCGGGUAAGUCGGGGCCUAAGGCGAAUCCGAAAGGAAUAGUCGAUGGACAACUGGUUAAUAUUCCAGUACCGACUGCAAGAGCGAUGUGGAGAAGGAGUAGUGAAAGUUCCGCGCACAGACGAAAGGGCGUUUAAGGGCGUAGGUAUAUCUUAUACAGGCAAGUCCGUAUUUGAUGCUGAAAUCCGAAAGUACAAGGAGGCUUCGGCCGAAUUGAGUGAACCUAAUCAGACUUCCGAGAAAAUCCGCUAAGCAUAUUUUGCAGUUGCCCGUACCGCAAACCGACACAGGUAGUCGAGGAGAGAAUCCUAAGGUGCUCGAGAGAUUCAUGGCUAAGGAACUCGGCAAAAUUAACCUGUAACUUCGGGAGAAGGGUUGCCUACUUCAGCAAUGAAGAGGUCGCAGAGAAAUGGCCCAGGCGACUGUUUAACAAAAACACAUGGCUAUGCGAAAUCGCAAGAUGAAGUAUAUGGCCUGACACCUGCCCGGUGCUGGAAGGUUAAGGGGGGAAGUUAGCCGCAAGGCGACGCUUUGAACUGAAGCCCCAGUAAACGGCGGCCGUAACUAUAACGGUCCUAAGGUAGCGAAAUUCCUUGUCGGGUAAGUUUC
RNAcentral lists this ribosomal RNA (1674 nucleotides) under metagenome. RNAcentral's name for it is "bacterial LSU rRNA". It matches the Rfam family "Bacterial large subunit ribosomal RNA", at positions 305 to 1984 of the family's 2925-position model. The record is from RNAcentral.